RNAcentral lists this ribosomal RNA (241 nucleotides) under uncultured Fusibacter sp. RNAcentral's name for it is "partial 16S ribosomal RNA". It matches the Rfam family "Bacterial small subunit ribosomal RNA", at positions 1142 to 1382 of the family's 1533-position model. The record is from RNAcentral. Lineage: Bacteria; Bacillati; Bacillota; Clostridia; Eubacteriales; Fusibacteraceae.
AGCGAGACUGCCGUGGGCGAACACGGAGGAAGGUGGGGAUGACGUCAAAUCAUCAUGCCCCUUAUGAUCUGGGCUACACACGUGCUACAAUGGUCGGUACAACGGGCAGCGGAGGAGCGAUCUGGAGCGAAUCCUAAAAGCCGAUCCCAGUUCGGAUUGCAGGCUGCAACUCGCCUGCAUGAAGUCGGAGUUGCUAGUAAUCGCAGAUCAGCAUGCUGCGGUGAAUGCGUUCCCGGGUCUU